GAUGAACGCUGGCGGCGUGCCUAAUACAUGCAAGUCGAGCGAACAGACGAGGAGCUUGCUCCUCUGACGUUAGCGGCGGACGGGUGAGUAACACGUGGAUAACCUACCUAUAAGACUGGGAUAACUUCGGGAAACCGGAGCUAAUACCGGAUAAUAUAUUGAACCGCAUGGUUCAAUAGUGAAAGACGGUUUUGCUGUCACUUAUAGAUGGAUCCGCGCCGCAUUAGCUAGUUGGUAAGGUAACGGCUUACCAAGGCAACGAUGCGUAGCCGACCUGAGAGGGUGAUCGGCCACACUGGAACUGAGACACGGUCCAGACUCCUACGGGAGGCAGCAGUAGGGAAUCUUCCGCAAUGGGCGAAAGCUUGACGGAGCAACGCCGCGUGAGUGAUGAAGGUCUUCGGAUCGUAAAACUCUGUUAUUAGGGAAGAACAAAUGUUUAAGUAACUAUGCACGUCUUGACGGUACCUAAUCAGAAAGCCACGGCUAACUACGUG
This 497-nucleotide ribosomal RNA is filed under the name uncultured bacterium. RNAcentral describes it as "partial 16S ribosomal RNA". It matches the Rfam family "Bacterial small subunit ribosomal RNA", at positions 28 to 507 of the family's 1533-position model. The record is from RNAcentral.